AUUGAACGCUGGCGGCAUGCCUUACACAUGCAAGUCGAACGGCAGCGCGGGAGCAAUCCUGGCGGCGAGUGGCGAACGGGUGAGUAAUAUAUCGGAACGUGCCCAGUAGUGGGGGAUAGCCCGGCGAAAGCCGGAUUAAUACCGCAUACGACCUGAGGGUGAAAGCGGGGGAUCGCAAGACCUCGCGCUAUUGGAGCGGCCGAUAUCAGAUUAGCUAGUUGGUGGGGUAAAGGCCUACCAAGGCAACGAUCUGUAGUUGGUCUGAGAGGACGACCAGCCACACUGGGACUGAGACACGGCCCAGACUCCUACGGGAGGCAGCAGUGGGGAAUUUUGGACAAUGGGCGCAAGCCUGAUCCAGCAAUGCCGCGUGCAGGAAGAAGGCC
This 386-nucleotide ribosomal RNA is filed under the name uncultured bacterium. RNAcentral describes it as "bacterial SSU rRNA". It matches the Rfam family "Bacterial small subunit ribosomal RNA", at positions 29 to 416 of the family's 1533-position model. The record is from RNAcentral.